GACGAACGCUGGCGGCGUGCUUAACACAUGCAAGUCGAACGGCAAGGCCCUGCUUUUGUGGGGUGCUCGAGUGGCGAACGGGUGAGUAACACGUGAGUAACCUGCCCUUGACUUUGGUAUAACUUCAGGAAACUGGGGCUACUACCGGAUAGCAGCUCCUGCUGCAUGGUGGGGGUUGGAACGUUUCGGCUGUUGGGGAUGGACUCGCGGCUUAUCAGCUUGUUGGUGGGGUAGUGGCUUACCAAGGCUUUGACGGGUAGCCGGCCUGAGAGGGUGACCGGCCACAUUGGGACUGAGAUACGGCCCAGACGCCUACGGGAGGCAGCAGUGGGGAAUAUUGCACAAUGGGCGGAAGCCUGAUGCAGCAACGCCGCGUGCGGGAUGACGGCCUUCGGGUUGUAAACCGCUUUCGCCUGUGACGAAGCGUGAGUGACGGUAAUGGGUAAAGAAGCACCGGCUAACUACGUG
Molecule: ribosomal RNA, 468 nt
Filed under: uncultured bacterium
Lineage: Bacteria
Description: partial 16S ribosomal RNA
Rfam family: Bacterial small subunit ribosomal RNA
Source: RNAcentral